Molecule: ribosomal RNA, 1342 nt
Filed under: uncultured bacterium
Lineage: Bacteria
Description: 16S ribosomal RNA
Rfam family: Bacterial small subunit ribosomal RNA
Source: RNAcentral
GACGAACGCUGGCGGCGUGCUUAACACAUGCAAGUCGAACGGAAGGCCCUGCUUUUGUGGGGUGCUCGAGUGGCGAACGGGUGAGUAACACGUGAGUAACCUGCCCUUGACUUUGGGAUAACUUCAGGAAACUGGGGCUAAUACCGGAUAGGAGCUCCUGCCGCAUGGUGGGGGUUGGAAAGUUUCGGCGGCUGGGGAUGGACUCGCGGCUUAUCAGCUUGUUGGUGGGGUAGUGGCUUACCAAGGCUUUGACGGGUAGCCGGCCUGAGAGGGUGACCGGCCACAUUGGGACUGAGAUACGGCCCAGACUCCUACGGGAGGCAGCAGUGGGGAAUAUUGCACAAUGGGCGGAAGCCUGAUGCAGCAACGCCGCGUGCGGGAUGACGGCCUUCGGGUUGUAAACCGCUUUCGCCUGUGACGAAGCGUGAGUGACGGUAAUGGGUAAAGAAGCACCGGCUAACUACGUGCCAGCAGCCGCGGUGAUACGUAGGGUGCGAGCGUUGUCCGGAUUUAUUGGGCGUAAAGGGCUCGUAGGUGGUUGAUCGCGUCGGAAGUGUAAUCUUGGGGCUUAACCCUGAGCGUGCUUUCGAUACGGGUUGACUUGAGGAAGGUAGGGGAGAAUGGAAUUCCUGGUGGAGCGGUGGAAUGCGCAGAUAUCAGGAGGAACACCAGUGGCGAAGGCGGUUCUCUGGGCCUUUCCUGACGCUGAGGAGCGAAAGCGUGGGGAGCGAACAGGCUUAGAUACCCUGGUAGUCCACGCUGUAAACGGUGGGUACUAGGUGUGGGGUCCAUUCCACGGGUUCCGUGCCGUAGCUAACGCUUUAAGUACCCCGCCUGGGGAGUACGGCCGCAAGGCUAAAACUCAAAGGAAUUGACGGGGCCCCGCACAAGCGGCGGAGCAUGCGGAUUAAUUCGAUGCAACGCGUAGAACCUUACCUGGGUUUGACAUGGAUCGGGAGUGCUCAGAGAUGGGUGUGCCUCUUUUGGGGUCGGUUCACAGGUGGUGCAUGGCUGUCGUCAGCUCGUGUCGUGAGAUGUUGGGUUAAGUCCCUCAACGAGCGCAACCCUUGUUCACUGUUGCCAGCACGUUAUGGUGGGGACUCAGUGGAGACCGCCGGGGUCAACUCGGAGGAAGGUGGGGAUGACGUCAAGUCAUCAUGCCCCUUAUGUCCAGGGCUUCACGCAUGCUACAAUGGCUGGUACAGAGAGUGGCGAGCCUGUGAGGGUGAGCGAAUCUCGGAAAGCCGGUCUCAGUUCGGAUUGGGGUCUGCAACUCGACCUCAUGAAGUCGGAGUCGCUAGUAAUCGCAGAUCAGCAACGCUGCGGUGAAUACGUUCACGGG